Molecule: long non-coding RNA, 215 nt
Filed under: Elaeis guineensis (African oil palm)
Lineage: Eukaryota; Viridiplantae; Streptophyta; Magnoliopsida; Arecales; Arecaceae
Description: long non-coding RNA (EGUI_LNC038810)
Source: RNAcentral
ACUUGCCAAAUAAUUUCAUCGAGUAAAUUUUUGAUGAUUUAGAUACUUGGAUAGAAGGGCUCUUCCUUCUCUAUAUUCUAUAAAAAUUUCAUUAAUUUUUGAUGUCAAAAUAUAGGAUUUUUGAUUUAUCUUCUAAGGCAACGCAUUUAAUAAAGAGCCUUCUUUAAGAAGGACUCUUUAUUUCUCAUGCUGAUUUGAGGUGGGCGGCAAUUAUA